CCGCGACCCCAGGUCAGGCGGGACUACCCGYUGAGUUUAA
This 40-nucleotide ribosomal RNA is filed under the name Veronica linifolia. Its description in RNAcentral is "partial 28S ribosomal RNA". Lineage: Eukaryota; Viridiplantae; Streptophyta; Magnoliopsida; Lamiales; Plantaginaceae. The record is from RNAcentral.